AUACGGAGGAUGCAAGCGCUAUCCGGAUUUAUUGGGUUUAAAGGGUGCGUAGGCGGAUGAUUAAGCGUGAGGUGAAAUGCCACUGCUCAACAGUGGAACUGCCUCGCGAACUGGUUGUCUUGAAUGCUCCUGCCGUGGGAGGAAUGUGUGGUGUAGCGGUGAAAUGCAUAGAGAUCACACAGAACACCGAUUGCGAAGGCAUCUCACGAAGGGGUGAUUGACGCUGAGGCACGAAAGCGUGGGGAUCAAACAGGAUUAGAUACCCUGGUAGUCCACGCAGUAAACGAUGAUAACUAACCGCUGGGUCGUAGUGAUUCAGUGGCCAAGCGAAAGCGAUAAGUUAUCCACCUGGGGAGUACGACCGCAAGGUUGAAACUCAAAGGAAUUGAAGGGG
This 394-nucleotide ribosomal RNA is filed under the name uncultured bacterium. RNAcentral describes it as "partial 16S ribosomal RNA". It matches the Rfam family "Bacterial small subunit ribosomal RNA", at positions 523 to 918 of the family's 1533-position model. The record is from RNAcentral.